Raphanus sativus (radish) is the source of this 1335-nucleotide long non-coding RNA. RefSeq lists it as uncharacterized. The transcript has 3 exons. The record is from RefSeq and is a predicted model, not a curated record. Lineage: Eukaryota; Viridiplantae; Streptophyta; Magnoliopsida; Brassicales; Brassicaceae.
GGUCAGAAAUAGAGUCUAUGUGACACCGACACGUGUCGCGUUAAAUGAAACGCAGUGUUGUGGACUUCGACUUUCAUCGUCUCUUCCAAUUGGGCUUCGCGUUGCUCUCCGGUUUUGAGACCCAGCGACCAUACGACUACAGAGAAAUCCUAAUCGGUGGUGAAGAACGCAUUUAUGAUUAUCGUUUCUCUUCGGAAUCGGUGGAUGGGACGAUCCAGUUCCUGUAAUGGUUUUCGUGGUGAUUAAUCGUCUUAAAUCCUCUUAAUUCGUGAGCCCACCUCGAAGCUUUUGUUUGCGAUGUUCGUCGGCGAGUUCUGGUAUAAAUAAGUUACGAUCUUUUCUCUGCGAAUCGCGAUCUCUACAUCUCAAUUCUACUCAUCUCACUCACAUACAUCUCGAUCCACACACAUCGCGUUGGCUGAGAUGUUCAUUCUUCCACUGUCGAGGUGCAAUUGAUCAGGUUUUUAGAUGUAAAAGCAUCUUCUUUUUCUUAUGAGUUUCAGUGAUUUGGAGCAGAAUAUGGGUACUCUUCAAGUUCUCUCCGUCUCUUUAGUUUCCCUUUUGUACACUUUCCAGUGAAUUUUUUUUUUUUUUUUCAUGUAAUCCCAAAAAAGUUUAUUGCAGUCUAAUGGCUAACUCAUCGGUUUAUCUUGCGCUGGCCACUGUUCUUUCACUUGAUGUGCGAGUUCUUAGAUCUGGGAGGCGAGGAACAUGAAAAGCUGUGGCGAGUUAAUUGGGUGUGAACAUGCUUCUUGAUGUAAAGAUUCUUCUUCCUUGAUAGAACAUGGUAUCUAGAUCACCAUAGAACCUGAGUCAUCACCACCACGUACUGGAGAAGGAUCCGGUGAGAAGAUUUGGACAUCAGACUGAACUUAGUGUGAUGUUGGAUGAAGAUUUAGUAGACUACAAUGGAAAUAAUAUAAAGAGAUGAUAUAGCUUAUGGUGGAAUCUGUAAGGAAACAAUCCCUGGAGCUGCAUGAGAAAAAAGGGAUUAUGAUUUAAAACAGUCUUUGGAAGCACAAUUAGUCUCAACGACAAAGAAAUGUGAAAAGCAAAAGAGAGAGCUUCAAGUUAGAAGAAACUUGAAGGAGAAGGAACUUGAAGAAAGAGAGGAAGAGCUUGAAUGGAAGGAGGUUGAACGAUCAUCCGAGAAUAGAAAGAGAUCCAAAGAUGAAUUUGAGCCUUCAUUGCUGGCUGAGAAGGACAGAGAGACGACGAUCCUACAAGAAUAGACUCAAUCAGUCAAUUGUUUUUAGUUUUCUUUAGACCAUAACAGAAGAAGUUGAUAAAAAAGGAAAAUACAGAAGAAUAAAAUAUUACAGAGAUAAAACUGCU